UUUAAACAUUAAAAAGACGGAAACGCGGGCGAGACUUAGAAUAGUUUUAAUUUAAAAUUUCGGUACUUAAAAAUUUUCAUUCCAUAGUUGGCCUUUUUUUUUUAUUAACAUAUACGAUCUCUUUAUUGACUUGGAUGAUUACUGGAUCAGUUCUCCUUUGUCCUUUGACGAAUAAACAUCAAAAGUCUUUCAGGGUGUCUUUACUCCAAGGAUCAAUGAAUAUUUAAGAACAUCAUUGCAAUCGCCUGUAAAGUAAUGAUGUAAUCGAAAAUUUGUAUCGCUUAAAUAAGAAUAUCGCGAAGUAGGAGAAGUAUUCGUUCGCAUGCGUUUCGCAAUUUAAACGUUUUUGAUUUAAAAGUUUUUGCAUCGUCUGCGUGCAAUGCAGUCGUUAGAGUGUUUGUUCGCAAAGUUUAUUAAUUUUUUAACAGUCGCACAGAUUGUAUUUAUAAAAGACAGUAGUAGUUCGCGAAGUAAAUUCAGUGACCGUUCGUUAAAAAAUAACCAUCGCGUAAUAGAGUCAGUGCAUCAUUGAAGAGAUUCUUGAUCAACUUCGAUGUCGUCCUACCUAAUUUUCAACCACAUACGAAUCAUCCACUCUCAAUUUCGAUCUGAACGAAUGUUUUGGAGCCAUCGCAGAACUUCUUAAGUAAUCAUCGAGGGAUAGGUUCAUCUGCAGUCGGAUGCGUCGUCGCAUGGCUCGAUCCAUCAUCGAUUUUUACGCGCGAAUACGGGAAGAAUAGGAAGAACAAUGGCGCGUGGGCACAAGCGUGAGUGUUCUCGGGCGCGAUUAAACUACAUUUGAUUGCUCGUAUCGAAACCCCGAAUUGUAAAGUCACCGUUUUUCUAACACUCACGUGGGUGUUCGAGCGUGAUUAAAGGUCUUACCGUGGACUUCGUUUUAUUUCUUCAAAAUUUCGAUUAUAUCACUUCGCGAAUUUGAAUUUAACAGUAGAAUCAACGUUAUUGUAACAUACAUGUGAGUGUCGCGAAUGCGAUUAGUAGUCCUUAAAGAGUGCGCUUUGAUUGUUCGAAAUUCAUAAAACACAAAUUCAGUUGUGCUUAAUAAUCCGUUAUGUCUGAAGCAGACGGUGCAAAUGAUGGAGUUAUCUGUAAAAGGGGUCUCUGUAGCUAAGUCUACAUAUCUUCUGUUAGUUAAGAAGCCAUUGCACCCAAAACGGAAAGGUAUCGCGGAUUGGGAUCGCGGAUUUUAGAGUAAUGUAGAGUCAACCUUAGCCCGUGGGUCUCCACAUGCAGCAACUUCUACGUAGUGAGACCAGGGUCGGUAUUACUUGCAAACUCUAAUUAUAAAUCCUUUAACGCAAGUACUACCGAGCAAAUGGUUGCAUAUUUUAAGAUUUUUCCAAUAUCUUUUCAAUCUAAUUCCAACUAAACAUUAACGUACUCCGCUUUUACAUUGCUAAGCAGUUCAAAUAAAUAAAUGAUUAAAUAUAGUAGUAUUCUAAAAUAGUUUCUUAGAGAAAUGGACAGAUAACUUUUCUAUCGUACUUAUAUUCACAAUCAUUUCUAUUUAUUUUCAUCACCAUUCCUUUGGGAAGUAUUCUUCGGUCUGGAC
Long non-coding RNA from Vespa mandarinia (Asian giant hornet), 1573 nucleotides. The record is from RefSeq and is a predicted model, not a curated record. Lineage: Eukaryota; Metazoa; Arthropoda; Insecta; Hymenoptera; Vespidae.